UGGGGUCACACAGGUGUUGAGACCUGCCGUCUCAUUUCCUGCCACAAAGUGAGACAACCAAUCAAUAACGCGAUAAGACUUGGAAAUGUUCCCUCCUUUCUCCUGAUGACAGACGCUCUGAGACAGCUGCAUGCACAUGUACUCACACAGACCUCUCGCCCCUGUGUGAUGACUCAGAGACGGGGAGAUGAAAGGAGAGGCAGGGACAAGGGGGAGGAGAGGAGAGGAGAGGCGCACUCUGACAGGAGGGGAUGGAGGGCCUGAGAUGGUUUGAGCCAGGUGGCAGCAAUGACGUCCGUCUCCUUCCCAGCAGCGCGCACACAAGCCCAACACACUCUCCCUCUGCUGCUCUGUGCUCUCCGGUGUCAGUCCCACCAGAUCCUAUCGUGCUUGAAAUUCACUCAUCAUAUCGGGUGGCCUCACUGUGCUGCUUGCUGACACAACGCAUGAAAGGAAGACGAAAAAGCAGAAUGACAGCCGGAGCAUCUGCACACUUUGCUGCACCAAAGAAGAGUUAUCACAACCAGUGCUCUCAAUUACAGCACAAUGAAAGCACUACAAACAGGUGUAUCGGAGCAGUGUUAUCCAACCUGCUCAAUUCAGUUGAGUUUUAACUGGAUGAUAUUUACCACUAUAAAGUGGAUAAUGUUUGAAUAUUCUUUUGUACAACUUGAACUGCCACUGAUUUGGGAGGUUUGGUCUGCAUUUGUUGUAGCUUGGCAGAAGCUAGACGAGCUGGAUGAUUUAUCCACUGUGUUUAGCUAUGUGUUUCAACUG
Molecule: non-coding RNA, 777 nt
Organism: Epinephelus lanceolatus (giant grouper)
Lineage: Eukaryota; Metazoa; Chordata; Actinopteri; Perciformes; Serranidae
Source: RefSeq, a predicted model, not a curated record